UAAUAUGAGGGCAACCUUACUGUGACAUGUUAUCUUGUUGGUUGCCAGGGUUGAUUUGGCUGAUCAAAUUGGCUAGGCAAGAUCCCUUUCCUAUUCUGUCACUUCAUGUGGGUCCCUCCUGAAACUGCAUGCUUAGAAGAAGAUAAUCUUCCCCAAUAAUGUGACAGUUCUUCAGUCAAGGGUACAUAGUAAUUGCUCCUCUGCUGCAACCUCUAAAUAAGAUCUCAAGUUUCAUUUAGAAAAGAACACAGAGUACACAAUUUCUCAAGAUUCCAUACACAUCUAAAUAAGGCUUGUAACAAUCUGCCUCUCUCU
This 315-nucleotide small nuclear RNA is filed under the name Sorex araneus (European shrew). Its description in RNAcentral is "7SK RNA (ENSSARG00000018052.1)". It matches the Rfam family "7SK RNA". From Rfam's summary of the family: 7SK was discovered as an abundant small nuclear RNA in the mid-70s but a possible function has only recently been suggested. Two independent studies have found that 7SK RNA binds the CDK9/cyclin T complex (known as elongation factor P-TEFb). The record is from RNAcentral. Lineage: Eukaryota; Metazoa; Chordata; Mammalia; Eulipotyphla; Soricidae.